CGGGGCGUAGCGCAGUCUGGUAGCGCACCUGCUUUGGGAGCAGGGAGUCGGAGGUUCAAAUCCUCUCGCCCCGACCA
Molecule: transfer RNA, 77 nt
Filed under: Desulfosarcina cetonica
Lineage: Bacteria; Pseudomonadati; Thermodesulfobacteriota; Desulfobacteria; Desulfobacterales; Desulfosarcinaceae
Also listed under: 4 other names
Description: tRNA-Pro
Rfam family: tRNA
About the family: Transfer RNA (tRNA) molecules are approximately 80 nucleotides in length. Their secondary structure includes four short double-helical elements and three loops (D, anti-codon, and T loops).
Source: RNAcentral